AGGGACUGUUGGCUAGAACUGCCCUUGCCGCCCGCCCUACUGCGGGCGCUCCCCUGUCUGUGGGGGGUGCUUGGCUGGGUGUGGAGAAGGAUCAAUCACAGCUGACUCCGCAGAGGUGACAGCCCCCGCCCCCUUAAAAACAAGAAAAGACCUAGAAGUGUGAAGCCAGACUGCAGCCCCACCCCCGGUGACAGGAGGAAACCGCGAGGCGCACAGCCUAAGGUUCAUGGUUCAUCUCCUUCCUGCUUGGAGUCAGAAUGUCCUCACUGCUGAGUUUCUCCAUUUUGUGGGAUUAUAUUAGUGGACAAAGGAGGAGGUCUCAGCCGGGAACACAGAAAGGAUAUAGAGAAAAUUAUUGUUCUGCCCCUACAGUUUUGGUGACCCAGAUGGGAUCUCCGGGACACCCUGCCUGCUCUACAAUUGGGAUCCCUGGAAGUGACAGAAUCUGGCAACGGAUGAAUAAGAAAGGUCACUUCCUGGCAGACCUCAGGUAUAUUGGGGACAUCAAGAAAAGAAUAAUUCAUCAAAGUCUAUGGAUAUUGCAGGCAAAGUUGAAACAAACCAGACAAGUUCUCUUUGUAUUCUUGAGAGACUAGGAAAGUCUAACCUGAGAUUCCUUAUUAAAAGUUCCAGCAAAGCAGACUUAAAAA
This is a long non-coding RNA of Piliocolobus tephrosceles (Ugandan red Colobus), 650 nucleotides long. RefSeq lists it as uncharacterized. NCBI's taxonomy places the organism in Eukaryota, Metazoa, Chordata, Mammalia, Primates, Cercopithecidae. The transcript has 3 exons. The record is from RefSeq and is a predicted model, not a curated record.